ACUCCUACGGGAGGCAGCAGUGGGGAAUAUUGGACAAUGGGCGCAAGCCUGAUCCAGCCAUGCCGCGUGUGUGAUGAAGGCCUUAGGGUUGUAAAGCACUUUCACCGGAGAAGAUAAUGACGGUAUCCGGAGAAGAAGCCCCGGCUAACUUCGUGCCAGCAGCCGCGGUAAU
Molecule: ribosomal RNA, 172 nt
Filed under: uncultured bacterium
Lineage: Bacteria
Description: partial 16S ribosomal RNA
Rfam family: Bacterial small subunit ribosomal RNA
Source: RNAcentral